RNAcentral lists this ribosomal RNA (404 nucleotides) under uncultured bacterium. Its description in RNAcentral is "bacterial SSU rRNA". It matches the Rfam family "Bacterial small subunit ribosomal RNA", at positions 355 to 776 of the family's 1533-position model. The record is from RNAcentral.
UGGGGAAUAUUGCACAAUGGGCGAAAGCCUGAUGCAGCAAUGCCGCGUGUGUGAAGAAGGCCUGCGGGUUGUAAAGCACUUUCGAUAGGGAAGAUUAUGACGGUACCUAUAGAAGAAGCACCGGCUAACUCCGUGCCAGCAGCCGCGGUAAUACGGAGGGUGCAAGCGUUAAUCGGAAUUACUGGGCGUAAAGCGCGCGUAGGCGACUCAGUCAGUCGGAUGUGAAAGCCCCGGGCUCAACCUGGGAAUUGCAUUCGAUACUGCUGAGAUAGAGUAUGGAAGAGGGAAGUGGAAUUCCGGGUGUAGCGGUGAAAUGCGUAGAUAUCCGGAGGAACACCAGUGGCGAAGGCGACUUCCUGGGCCAAUACUGACGCUGAGGUGCGAAAGCGUGGGGAGCAAACAGG